UGAGACAAAAUAAAAAGAUUUACACAUCACAAGAAUUACCUCUGAAAUAACUUUUUUUCCAAGAACUUGUCAUAUGUGGCUGCAUAACGAAAUUUCUUGCACACGCAUCGAAAGUUAAUGAUAUCCUCAAUAGUGAUAACAUUAUAGCUGAGAAUGAUGGCUGUUAUCUCCUCUGUACACGAAAUAUGUUGAUUACAAAAAGCAUAAAUAUGUGUGUUCGAUCUACCUUAGAGAUGUUUUCCACACUGCAGACGUUCUGUUCUUUAUUAUUAAAUUUGACCUCAAAUUUUAAAGCUUUAUUGCUUGUUUUAACUAAGAUACAGGUAUAAGGAUUUGUCACGGCAUGCGCAGAAAAUGUAAUUUUGAACUAGCUAAUUUACCGUUUCUUCGUAUGCGCUUGAAAGAACGUGUUUAAAACUCCAGUGCUGUGAAUUGUCAAAUUUUCUUGAUAAGAGAGAAAAAGGAAGAAAGAGAUUUACAUUUUUCAUUCUUCAAAUCUUUACAGAUAAAAUUCUCAGUUAAAAUAAAAUCGUCGACUUACAAUACAAAUAUUUAAUAAUUGA
This is a non-coding RNA of Nylanderia fulva, 563 nucleotides long. NCBI's taxonomy places the organism in Eukaryota, Metazoa, Arthropoda, Insecta, Hymenoptera, Formicidae. The record is from RefSeq and is a predicted model, not a curated record.